UAUGUUUUAGUAUAUGAUGUAUCUGAAUUUUUGAAAUUUAAGGUAAUAGUUUAAAUCUAUUAAACAUAA
This 69-nucleotide transfer RNA is filed under the name Sepedophilus bipunctatus. RNAcentral's name for it is "tRNA-Gln". The record is from RNAcentral. Lineage: Eukaryota; Metazoa; Arthropoda; Insecta; Coleoptera; Staphylinidae.